RNAcentral lists this ribosomal RNA (408 nucleotides) under uncultured bacterium. RNAcentral describes it as "bacterial SSU rRNA". It matches the Rfam family "Bacterial small subunit ribosomal RNA", at positions 354 to 777 of the family's 1533-position model. The record is from RNAcentral.
GUGGGGAAUAUUGGGCAAUGGGCGAAAGCCUGACCCAGCGACGCCGCGUGAGGGAAGAAGGUCUUCGGAUUGUAAACCUCUGUUAUAGAGGACGAACAAAUGACGGUACUCUAUGAGGAAGCCACGGCUAACUACGUGCCAGCAGCCGCGGUAAUACGUAGGUGGCGAGCGUUAUCCGGAUUUACUGGGUGUAAAGGGUGUGUAGGCGGGAGAGCAAGUCAGAUGUGAAAAUUAUGGGCUCAACUCAUAAAUUGCGUCUGAAACUGUUUUUCUUGAGGGUCGGAGAGGUAACUGGAAUUCCUGGUGUAGCGGUGAAAUGCGUAGAUAUCAGGAGGAACACCGGUGGCGAAGGCGAGUUACUGGACGAUUACUGACGCUGAGACACGAAAGUGUGGGGAGCAAACAGGA